This 252-nucleotide ribosomal RNA is filed under the name uncultured bacterium. Its description in RNAcentral is "partial 16S ribosomal RNA". It matches the Rfam family "Bacterial small subunit ribosomal RNA", at positions 524 to 776 of the family's 1533-position model. The record is from RNAcentral.
UACGUAGGUCCCGAGCGUUGUCCGGAUUUAUUGGGCGUAAAGCGAGCGCAGGUGGUUUAUUAAGUCUGGUGUAAAAGGCAGUGGCUCAACCAUUGUAUGCAUUGGAAACUGGUAGACUUGAGUGCAGGAGAGGAGAGUGGAAUUCCAUGUGUAGCGGUGAAAUGCGUAGAUAUAUGGAGGAACACCGAUUGCGAAGGCAGCAUGCCGGCUUCCUACUGACGCUGAAGCACGAAAGCGUGGGGAUCGAACAGG